This 581-nucleotide ribosomal RNA is filed under the name uncultured bacterium. Its description in RNAcentral is "partial 16S ribosomal RNA". It matches the Rfam family "Bacterial small subunit ribosomal RNA", at positions 355 to 932 of the family's 1533-position model. The record is from RNAcentral.
UGGGGAAUUUUGGACAAUGGGCGAAAGCCUGAUCCAGCAAUGCCGCGUGUGUGAAGAAGGCCUUCGGGUUGUAAAGCACUUUUGUCCGGAAAGAAAUCCUUGGCUCUAAUACAGUCGGGGGAUGACGGUACCGGAAGAAUAAGCACCGGCUAACUACGUGCCAGCAGCCGCGGUAAUACGUAGGGUGCAAGCGUUAAUCGGAAUUACUGGGCGUAAAGCGUGCGCAGGCGGUUUGCUAAGACCGAUGUGAAAUCCCCGGGCUCAACCUGGGAACUGCAUUGGUGACUGGCAGGCUAGAGUAUGGCAGAGGGGGGUAGAAUUCCACGUGUAGCAGUGAAAUGCGUAGAGAUGUGGAGGAAUACCGAUGGCGAAGGCAGCCCCUUGGGCCAAUACUGACGCUCAUGCACGAAAGCGUGGGGAGCAAAACAGGAUUAGAUACCCUGGUAGUCCACGCCCUAAAACGAUGUCAACUAGUUGUUGGGGAUUCAUUUCCUUAGUAACGUAGCUAACGCGUGAAGUUGACCGCCUGGGGAGUACGGUCGCAAGAUUAAAACUUAAAUGAAUUGACGGGGUCAUAGCUG